RNAcentral lists this ribosomal RNA (253 nucleotides) under uncultured bacterium. RNAcentral describes it as "partial 16S ribosomal RNA". It matches the Rfam family "Bacterial small subunit ribosomal RNA", at positions 524 to 776 of the family's 1533-position model. The record is from RNAcentral.
GACGAACCGUGCGAACGUUGUUCGGAUUCACUGGGCUUAAAGGGCGCGUAGGCGGGCGUCAGGGUCCGGGGUGAAAUCCCCCAGCUUAACUGGGGAAUAGCCCCGGAAACCGGACGUCUCGAGGGAGGUAGGGGCAGGUGGAACUUCCGGUGGAGCGGUGAAAUGCGUAGAUAUCGGAAGGAACGCCGGUGGCGAAAGCGACCUGCUGGACCUCUUCUGACGCUGAGGCGCGAAAGCUAGGGGAGCAAACGGG